Molecule: ribosomal RNA, 859 nt
Filed under: uncultured Densosporaceae
Lineage: Eukaryota; Fungi; Mucoromycota; Endogonomycetes; Endogonales; Densosporaceae
Description: SSU rRNA
Rfam family: Eukaryotic small subunit ribosomal RNA
Source: RNAcentral
GGGCGGUCCACCUUUGGCUGGUACUGCUCUGGCUGGGGUUCACCUUCUGGUGAGCCGGUAUGCCCUUUAGUGGGUGUGGCGGGGAACCAGGACUUUUACUUUGAAAAAAUUAGAGUGUUUAAAGCAGGCUUAUGCUUGAAUACAUUAGCAUGGAAUAAUAGAAUAGGACCUCGGUUCUAUUUUGUUGGUUUCUAGGACCGAAGUAAUGAUUAAUAGGGAUAGUUGGGGGCAUUAGUAUUUAGUAGCUAGAGGUGAAAUUCUUGGAUUUACGAAAGACUAACUUCUGCGAAAGCAUUUGCCAAGGAUGUUUUCAUUAAUCAAGAACGAAAGUUAGGGGAUCGAAGACGAUCAGAUACCGUCGUAGUCUUAACCAUAAACUAUGCCGACUAGGGAUCAGACGAUGUUAAUUUACUGACUCGUUUGGCACCUUAUGAGAAAUCAAAGUUUUUGGGUUCCGGGGGGAGUAUGGUCGCAAGGCUGAAACUUAAAGGAAUUGACGGAAGGGCACCACCAGGAGUGGAGCCUGCGGCUUAAUUUGACUCAACACGGGGAAACUCACCAGGUCCAGACAUAGUAAGGAUUGACAGAUUGAGAGCUCUUUCUUGAUUCUAUGGGUGGUGGUGCAUGGCCGUUCUUAGUUGGUGGAGUGAUUUGUCUGCUUAAUUGCGUUAACGAACGAGACCUUAACCUGCUAAAUAGUUAUGCCAACUAAGGUUGGUAGCCAACUUCUUAGAGGGACUGUCGGCGAUUAGCCGACGGAAGUUUGAGGCAAUAACAGGUCUGUGAUGCCCUUAGAUGUCCUGGGCCGCACGCGCGCUACACUGAUGAAGUCAACGAGUCUAUAACCUUGGCCGGAAGG